AUAUGACUUGUAAAUGAUUUCCUGUGCUUGAAACAAAAUAUCUGUAGUAGAGAUUAUUUGUUUGUUUUAAUGGAACUUAAAAAUGCAUACAGAAAGGGGGGGAAAAGGAAGAAAUAAUAUAUCAGAUUAUGCUAUUUCUGUUAGCUUUUGUGGAACUGGGAAUUGAAACGAGGGAUACUCUACCCCUGAGCUACAUUUCCAGCAAUGUACCCCCACCUAUUUCUGAGACAGGGUUUCCAAAUAGCUGAGGCUAUCUUUAAACUUUCGAUCCUCCUGCCUCUGCUUUCCUAGUAGCUAAGAUUACAGGAGUUCUGUGCUGUUUCUUUUAAAGGUUUAAAAUGGCUUAAUGGAACUGUGUGUGUGUGUGUAUGUGUGUGUGUGUGUGUAAUUCUGUAGUUUAAAAUGUUUUCUAAUUUUCAUUAUUAUUUCUUCUUUGACUCAUGUGAAAUUCAGAAGUUUAUUUCUUAAUUUUAAAAUAUAUUUUCUAGUUAUCUUUUUAUUAUUAAUUCCAGCCUAAAUUGUGUUUGGAUAUCAUAUACUGUAUUUCUUUU
Molecule: long non-coding RNA, 551 nt
Filed under: Marmota monax (woodchuck)
Lineage: Eukaryota; Metazoa; Chordata; Mammalia; Rodentia; Sciuridae
Source: RNAcentral